Zootermopsis nevadensis is the source of this 586-nucleotide non-coding RNA. The record is from RefSeq and is a predicted model, not a curated record. NCBI's taxonomy places the organism in Eukaryota, Metazoa, Arthropoda, Insecta, Blattodea, Termopsidae.
UCUCAUACGACGGUAGUAUAAAUGUUGUUGGCCCUGCAAGAAGCAUAAACUGCCUUGUGUUCGAGUGUGUUCUCGAAAUGACUGCCGAUUUCUGACGAGUACAUCAAAGCGGAAGCAGUAUCGAAGUCGUUUCUCGUUCAUGUAAACGUGAUACUGACGCGAGGUUUUAUAUCUCUUGUUUUUGUGAUUUGUCGGGUGAAAGUUAAGUGAUAAAGUGUAAAAUGACAUUCCUUUACGUGUGUUAAAAUAGUUUGAUUUGUAAUAACGUUAUAAUUUCGAUCACAUGAUGUGUGCGUGAGAGAAACUUGAUCCAUCCUGUCACUGUCAUAGACGUGCAGCUGCCAUUACGCCGUUCGGACUCAAAUCCAGUGGUGUCAAGUGGACUGGCUGGCUUGAGGUCACUAGCAGGUACAAGCGAAAAAUAAGGUUCUUCAAGCUCUGCUGUUAGCCGGCCUGACAGAAAUCCCUGCAAGUACGUAAUUAACAGUUGUAAUCAAAUACAGAUGAAGUUUUGCAUCUAAAUUGUGUCCUGAAUGUACUGACUUCUGUAGAAACCACAUAAAUGAAUACAUAUUAUUCUAUUAAA